UUUGAGGACGAAUCAAAGCACCCCCAAACCUAGGGUUCCGGCGGAUUUUCAUGAAAUUGAGGGUUUUCCAAGCCAAAUUGGCCUUAGUCACAGGUAUGAAAGUUUCUCUACUCAUCGAGAUCUUCAUUCCUCUUGGUUUAAUUAGUUAUUAGUCAUAUAGUAUAUUUUACUCUAGGAUUGAGAGUCUAAUACCGGGAGGAAUUAGUGAUCUUGCAAAGGAGUUCGUGAAGAUCAGGAGGUGUGCAAGCUAUAAGCUAGUGUAUAAGUUUCUUACAUUGGUCUUGGUGUUACCGGUUGCAACUACUUUAGUGUAGAGAGCUUUUUUUACUAUGAAUAUUGUGAAAACACCAAAUCAUAACGAAGUGGGAGAUCAAUGGUUGAAUGAUGACAUGAUUGUUGUUUACAUUGAGAGAGAUGCAUUCACUUUUAUUGAUAAUGAGUCUAUUAUGUGACGUUUUCAUUGCUAAAGUACGAAAGACAUAACUAUAUAUAUAUAUAUAUAUAUAUAUAUCCCAUUGUUUUCAAAAAAUAAAGAUUAGGUGUGGGGCCCACUCUACAUCGAACUUCAACGAUUCAAACCGUCUAUUUU
This 589-nucleotide long non-coding RNA is filed under the name Malus domestica (apple). Its description in RNAcentral is "long non-coding RNA (MDOM_LNC012447)". The record is from RNAcentral. Lineage: Eukaryota; Viridiplantae; Streptophyta; Magnoliopsida; Rosales; Rosaceae.